RNAcentral lists this ribosomal RNA (203 nucleotides) under uncultured bacterium. RNAcentral describes it as "partial 16S ribosomal RNA". It matches the Rfam family "Bacterial small subunit ribosomal RNA", at positions 521 to 722 of the family's 1533-position model. The record is from RNAcentral.
UAAGACGAACCGUGCGAACGUUAUUCGGAAUCACUGGGCUUAAAGCGCGUGUAGGCGGGGCGGUGCGUCGGCCGCUGAAAUCCCCCGGCUCAACCGGGGAAGGGGCGCCGAUACGACCGUCCUGGAGCGACGUAGGGGGAACUGGAACUUCCGGUGGAGCGGUGAAAUGCGUUGAGAUCGGAAGGAACGCCCGUGGCGAAAGC